RNAcentral lists this small nucleolar RNA (73 nucleotides) under Carlito syrichta (Philippine tarsier). Its description in RNAcentral is "Small nucleolar RNA Z40 (ENSTSYG00000019637.2)". It matches the Rfam family "Small nucleolar RNA Z40". Rfam says of the family: Z40 is a member of the C/D class of snoRNA which contain the C (UGAUGA) and D (CUGA) box motifs. The record is from Rfam by way of RNAcentral. Lineage: Eukaryota; Metazoa; Chordata; Mammalia; Primates; Tarsiidae.
AUAUGUUACGUUGAUGGGCAAAAUGUUCAGCUGCUCUGAAUGGACUGAAUGAAAAUAGCCUUUCUGAACAUCU